This is a long non-coding RNA of Cyprinus carpio (common carp), 471 nucleotides long. RefSeq lists it as uncharacterized. NCBI's taxonomy places the organism in Eukaryota, Metazoa, Chordata, Actinopteri, Cypriniformes, Cyprinidae. The record is from RefSeq and is a predicted model, not a curated record. The transcript has 2 exons.
CUUUUUGAGACAGAAGCGCUCUUCAUAUCAUAAGACAAGCCUAAGCGGCUUUCUUCUGAUAUAUCGAUCGGAUCUCUUUUGUGAACCACUAUUUGUCCCUUCAGCUGUCAGUCUGAGCUGUGUGCUCCACUCAGAGCUGCUGAAUUUGACACCUCUGCGUCAACAGCGAGGGGAUGGAGUGGACAGUGAUGACCACAUCCUCCUCAGCCGGUGAAGCGCUGGCUGAUGGGAUAUUGAGUUCUGAAGUGUCCGUAAACAAAGAUCACACGCGGAAUAACUCGCGUCGCGGUGAUUAUCAAAUGUAUAAUAAUCAUACUACAAGUUAUGGAUGACCACCGUCGCCGUGGAGAGGACAGGACGCGCAUCUGGUCGUGUACAAGCUUCGGGCAGCGGAUAAGCGCUGAUAAUGCGUCAAAACAACAGAAGGGAGGCUGGAAUAUGAAAUAUUACAGAUGAUUGAGACAGGUAAGA